AGAGUUGAUCAUGGCUCAGGACGAACGCUGGCGGCGUGCCUAAUGCAUGCAAGUCGAACGCUGCUCCUUCGGGAGCGGCGUGGCGCACGGCUGAGGAACACGUGGCUACCUGCCCCGCGGUGGGGGAUAACGGCGCGAAAGCGCCGCUAAUCCCGCAUGUGUUCACCUCUUGCGAGGUGAAGAAAGCUUUAGCGCCGUGGGAGGGGGCUGCGGCCCAUCAGGUGGUUGGCGGGGUAACGGCCCACCAAGCCGAUGACGGGUUGCUGGUCUGUGAGGACAACCUGCCAGACUGGGACUGAGAGACGGCCCAGACUCCUACGGGAGGCAGCAGCAAGGAAUUUUCCCCAAUGGGCGCAAGCCUGAGGGAGCAACGCCGCGUGCGGGACGACGGCCUUCGGGUUGUAAACCGCUUUUACGGGGGACGAUUGUGACAGUACCCCGCGAACAAGCCCCGGCUAACUCUGUGCCAGCCGCCGCGGUAAUAC
RNAcentral lists this ribosomal RNA (485 nucleotides) under uncultured bacterium. Its description in RNAcentral is "bacterial SSU rRNA". It matches the Rfam family "Bacterial small subunit ribosomal RNA", at positions 8 to 526 of the family's 1533-position model. The record is from RNAcentral.